Long non-coding RNA from Brassica napus (rape), 817 nucleotides. RefSeq lists it as uncharacterized. The transcript is spliced from 3 exons. NCBI's taxonomy places the organism in Eukaryota, Viridiplantae, Streptophyta, Magnoliopsida, Brassicales, Brassicaceae. The record is from RefSeq and is a predicted model, not a curated record.
AAAAUUGGUGGUUUAGAAAUAAAUAAGACUGGAUAGCACCUGCAGCUACUACCGAUCACCCGCAGCAACUACCGAUCACCGGUCUUUCGAUUCUUCCCCUCUUCCUAUCUUCCUCUGUUCGUCUCUAUCUCUUCCUCUCUAUCGCUUCGUCUCUGUCUCUCUGAUCGGACCUCCGUUUGGAUCUCUGUUCCACCAGAGAGCUCUUGUUGAGAUUUGCUAUCGUCUCUCGAUCUUCUCCAACCGCUUUGAUUGUUUUUCUUCUUCUGGGCAAUAUAGGGAUGCAGAUUCUGGUUUUGGUUCUUUGCAAGCAAAGGAAAUGUUGGAGCAUUUACAGAAUGUUCUAGCUAAUGAGCAUGUUGCUGUCAAAAGCGGCCACUACACUUGAUGAAGCCCUUUGAUUUCGAAACAACCAGUCUUUUGCAAGGAUGUUGAAGUACUGAUGCAUGCAAAGACGAGAGCAUUUGAUCAUUAUAAGGGAUGGAGCUUGUACUUUGCAGAUGAUCCAAUCCAUACAGAUGGUCGCUGAUGUGCGGCAGUUCCAAACUAUUGAAGCACGGCCAGUCUCACCUCUUUUGUUCUCUUUGAUGUAAAUAAUGAGACAUGUGUGUGAUUGUUCAGUUGCUAGUUGUGUAAAGCAGUGUCUAGGAUAGCUUAAAGAACGGGAAAAUCAGUAGGUUGACGGUUUGGUUAGUUGACUUGUUUAGUCCAAUGUUUAUCUUCUCAUCAAAAUGUUUCAUAAUUUUGUUUUUUUUAAGAUAGCUUAAGUUUAUCUUCUCAGCACAAUGUUUAUUUUCUCAUCAAAAUGUUUCAUAAUAUU